Long non-coding RNA from Triticum aestivum (bread wheat), 406 nucleotides. RefSeq lists it as uncharacterized. NCBI's taxonomy places the organism in Eukaryota, Viridiplantae, Streptophyta, Magnoliopsida, Poales, Poaceae. The record is from RefSeq and is a predicted model, not a curated record. The transcript has 3 exons.
CCCUCGGUAGCUUACGAGUUUACGUCCAUCCCUGGUCGGGUACAGUUUCCUUUAUUUUUAUCCCUUGUAGCCGUUACCCGAAUUCGCGCAAGUGUGUCCACACCCCCCUGACUUGACGAGGAAUUCAUUCUCGCGAACAAACACACCCCCUACACACACCUAGGAGCACCCCUUCCUGCAUAUCCAUACAAGACCUGAGUAGGCGGGUCGAGGUCCUACGAGGUACCCACUACUCGGAGUACCCUCCCACCAAAAAAAGAUGUGUGGUUCGGUGGUUCGACCAGAAAUGCUAUGCUUACGCACAAGACCACCCCUCUUCCCGAAAGCGUCGCGGGGACCUUUACUACUUUACGACGACGGGGGACCGCCCGUAGGGGGUUUACUGCACAAGAUCGGAAGAGCGCAC